UACGUAGGGUGCAAGCGUUAAUCGGAAUUACUGGGCGUAAAGCGUGCGCAGGCGGUUUUGUAAGUCUGUCGUGAAAUCCCCGGGCUCAACCCGGGAAUUGCAUUGGAGACUGCAAGGCUAGAAUCUGGCAGAGGGGGGUAGAAUUCCACGUGUAGCAGUGAAAUGCGUAGAGAUGUGGAGGAACACCGAUGGCGAAGGCAGCCCCCUGGGUCAAGAUUGACGCUCAUGCACGAAAGCGUGGGGAGCAAACAGG
This 253-nucleotide ribosomal RNA is filed under the name uncultured bacterium. RNAcentral's name for it is "partial 16S ribosomal RNA". It matches the Rfam family "Bacterial small subunit ribosomal RNA", at positions 524 to 776 of the family's 1533-position model. The record is from RNAcentral.